CAGUCGCCGCGGUAAUACGUAGGGUGCAAGCGUUAAUCGGAAUUACUGGGCGUAGAGCGUGCGCAGGCGGUUAUAUAAGCCAGAUGUGAAAUCCCCGGGCUCAACCUGGGAACUGCAUUUGAGACUGUAUGGCUAGAGUGUGUCAGAGGAGGGUAGGAUUCCACGUGUAGCAGUGAAAUGCGUAGAUAUGUGGAGGAAUACCGAUGGCGAAGGCAGCCCCCUGGGAUAACACUGACGCUCAUGCACGAAAGCGUGGGGAGCAAACAGGAUUAGAUACCCCGGUAGUCCCUGUCUCUUAUAC
This 301-nucleotide ribosomal RNA is filed under the name uncultured bacterium. RNAcentral's name for it is "partial 16S ribosomal RNA". It matches the Rfam family "Bacterial small subunit ribosomal RNA", at positions 509 to 807 of the family's 1533-position model. The record is from RNAcentral.